AGAUGUCUUCAUUUUAUUCACGUUUUUCGCGGUUUUUCGUCUCUCUUCAAUGUGGUCUCGCUAUGAAGAGACCAUACUUGUAACUCGUCAGUUAAGUGCGUUAAGUUAAGUGUAAUUAGCGCCAAAUAAUUAACCAUUUGGAACGCUGUAAUCUGAAUUGUGCUGUUUGAACUUCGACGGUGCAGGCCCCACUAUGUGCGAUUGGUUAUCAAAGAGAGGCAGAAAUGGCAGAAAGGCAGUGCAGGGUUAUGGUGGAAUUCUUCAACACCUUUUGUGGGUUCUAGUUAGAUUGUCUAGCAUCUGUGACAUGAAAAAUCUUGCCCAUUCUUGCACAACAUAAGUAGCUAAAGCAAAAUGUAACCUGAUGCAGUCCAUUCAUGUCAACGCCACUGUCCAUCACACUAUGUAGUAUGUGGACAAUAGGCAACCCAAGCAUACUUUCCUCUACACUGAAGUCAAUUUAUCAUAAUUGAAAUUAAGUUAAUAUCUUCGUCACAACCCAUUGUGAUUUUGGUGUAGACCAAGGUCCAUCUAAGAAGUUUACAAGCCAACAAGAACAAGGUUACAAGAUGUUCUCCACUCUCGAACCUGGAAAAGGGUCGAGAGUCGUCUAGAUCUGCCUUCAUCACUGAACCUCUCUGAUUUGUCCUCAUGUACAUCCGUGUGAGUGUGAAUAAUGGAUUCACGAGGACGUGAUUCGAUCCUGCCGCUUCUUCCCUCUAAUUUUCAACUUUAGUCAUCCAGUUUUAACACCCAUUCACUCAAUAAGGUAGGACUCGAUACACUUUUCUCUUGUUUUAGUGCUAGUUGCUCAAUUUUCUUAGUUAGUGCAGAAAACAAAUGCUGAUUACUUCAUCAGAAAUUGGGAGGGGGUAUUAACGAUAAAGAGUUACACUGAAUCAGAGUUCAUUUUGUGUCACCUCGCUCGGUUGAAAGAACAUGGAGAGAAUGACCGUUCCUACCUUCAAUUAACGCUGGUCGAAGUAGGACCUUGCGAGGCCAUUUUUUUCCCAAGAAAGUCAUUUUGUACAACAACAAAAAAUUCUGGUUAAUCUAUGGAAAAUAGGGGAGCAUUUUACGACAAGGAAUCAUAAUGAACCAGGCGAAUCAGAGUUCAUUUUCUUUCACUUUCGUUGAACGACUUGUUACGCUAGAAGGAAGCGAUCCUUAAUGUUAUCUGUUUGUUUUCUC
This is a long non-coding RNA of Daphnia pulicaria, 1191 nucleotides long. RefSeq lists it as uncharacterized. The record is from RefSeq and is a predicted model, not a curated record. The transcript has 5 exons. NCBI's taxonomy places the organism in Eukaryota, Metazoa, Arthropoda, Branchiopoda, Diplostraca, Daphniidae.